GAUGAAGAACGCAGCGAAAUGCGAUACGUAAUGUGAAUUGCAGAAUUCAGUGAAUCAUCGAAUCUUUGAACGCAUAUUGCGCUCUCUGGUAUUCCGGAGAGCAUGCUUGUUUGAGUAUCAGUAAACACCUCAACUUCCAUAUCUUUUUUGAAAUGGGAGUUGGACUUGAGUGAUCCCAACGCUUUUCCUCACCGAAAAGUGGCGGGUUACUUGAAAUGCAGGUGCAGCUGGACUUUUCUCUGAGCUAUAAGCAUAUCUAUUUAGUCUGCCUAAAAAACAGAUUAUUACCUUUGCUGCAGCUAACAUAAAGGAGAUUAGUUCUUGUGCUGACUGAUGCAGGAUUCACAAAGACGGCUUCGGCCGACUUUGUAAACUCGAUCUCAAAUCAAGUAAGACUACCCGCUGAACUUAAGCAUAUCAAUAAGCGGGGGA
RNAcentral lists this unclassified non-coding RNA (432 nucleotides) under soil metagenome. Its description in RNAcentral is "partial contains 5.8S ribosomal RNA, internal transcribed spacer 2, and large subunit ribosomal RNA". The stretch from base 1 to 120 matches the Rfam family "5.8S ribosomal RNA", at positions 35 to 154 of the family's 154-position model. The record is from RNAcentral.